This is a long non-coding RNA of Aphidius gifuensis, 2828 nucleotides long. RefSeq lists it as uncharacterized. The transcript has 3 exons. Lineage: Eukaryota; Metazoa; Arthropoda; Insecta; Hymenoptera; Braconidae. The record is from RefSeq and is a predicted model, not a curated record.
AAUGGUUAUUCUAAGGUUAUAUGAACCGAAGAUUAGUUUGCUGUAACCGUUAUUUAACCGUUCAAUAACUUCGGUUGGAUUUCGGUUACUUCGAGGUUGCCACAACGAUAUGACCCAAUCAGUCUCGUGGAUUGGAAUCAGGUUAUUCUGAGGUUUGAAGUUUUAAUAGGGUUUGCUUGUGGUUGGAUUACAUCUACUAAUACGACAUAUCCCUGGUAGAAAUAUUUCUCCGCCAUGACUCCGGCAUUACUCCGUUUUUAGCCCAUUUCCGGAGAAAUUACUCCAGCAUAAGGUUGUUGGCGGAGAAAUUACUCCGGCAUGAGAUUGAUAGAUGGGGGGGGGGGGAUUACUUCGACACGAGAUCGAUGAUGGGGAAAUCACUCCGGCAUGAGAUUGAUGGCGGAGAAAUUUUUCUGGCAUGAGAUUGAAACUAGAAGUCUUUUUUUCAUCGGUUGAAUAUUUUCAUGAUAUGACAAUCUAUUCUUUUGUGUUUUUUUGAUUCAUGGAGAACCACAUACAACCUCGCACAUACAAAUACUUAAUUACAAAAAAAAAUUGUCAAGUUCCAUACUUCCAUCACACAUUUAUAAUCCAAUACAUAUUUGAUCACCGCUUGUUAUAUAAUUGUUAGGCGUUUCUUUCCACGGCGAAUGCCUGCCAGAAAUACCACCUCCACUGCUCGCCGUCAUUACUCCUAUUGACUCCUAAUGCGCCACUGUAACACUUACACAUAUAUAAGAGUAGUGACGGUGAGCAGUACGGUGAGCAGUAGUCCGCCGUCAAAGAAAGCCCCUAUUAAUCGAUGGAAGCAACGUAGUCUGUUUUUAUACAUUAUCUUGUAAAAAGAAAAAAGUUAGAGUGUUGUGCCCUAGUGUAUAAGACAAUGGAAAAUCAUAUAAAUAAACAAAUAAAAUAAUAAAAAAAGCAAUAUUGUGCCCGAGGCUUAUACUAAAACACUGAGAAUAAAUAAAUUUCGCUUGAAUAAAUUUGUGGUUGAAGAAAUAAUGGCAGCAGCCGACUCAUUAACCAACGACAGCCUUUAUCCAAUUGCAGUUUUGAUAGAUGAAUCAUAAAAUGAAAAUUUACUACUGCGAUUUAAUUCAAUCGAAAAACUUUCAACGAUUGCCUUGGCACUUGGUGCUGAACGUACUCGUAGUGAGUUGAUGCCUUUUUUGACGUGGACAAUGUAUGAUGGAGAUGAAGUUUAAGGGAUUACCAUCACGAAUCAAAAACGCAGAUAGAGCCUUGAAAUUUUUUGAGCAGAUUAAUGAAAUAAUAAUACAUACGCUCAAAUUUUUUGAUAAUUUUCUUGUAGCUAAUUACUUAGUAAUUAAUUACUAAAGUAGGCUACUUUUUUGAAGGUUAUACAUAGGUUCUUAUGGAGAGUCCGGUUUAGUUCUUAGAAACCUGGUUAGUCAUUUUAUGGAAAACGCAGAUAGCUUUUUCAAAAACUACAGAUAGAUAGAGGAAACAAUAAGGAAAGUUUUGAUAUAAAAAUUAAUAGGGCUUACAAUAAAUAAAAAUAAAUUUUUGUCUUUGUCUAAAUACUCAAGUUAAAGUGAGAAACAAGAUUUUCUCUUUCUUUUUUAUCUCGUUCGCACUCAUAGAAAUAUUAUGUUUCUAAAUUUCAUACGCAAGAGGUCUCUAGAUAUGCGGGGGUAAUCCCUCAAUUGGCACUCGCUGAACAACUUGUAACAUUCACACCACUCGUAGGUGGACUUGAUCAUGUUUAUUGUUAAUUGCCACCACUUAAAGCAUUGGCAGCUGUUGAAGAAACAGUUGUACGUGACAAAGCAGUUGAAUUGUCGCGUAAUAUUGCGAGUCAACACAGUCCAGCAUAUCUUGAAGAUCAUUUUGUUCCAUUUAGUGGUCUUCGAUUUUUGCCGAUGUAUCGACAAGCCGAUUUUAAAUCGGAAAGUAUCGAGUACUUUUACUCGAUACUUUUUUUGGGCCGAUGUAUCGAUUUCGAAAUCAAGAAUCGGAAAAAUCGUGUACUGAACCAAGAAAAAAUAUGAAAUCACUUGGUUAAUUUUAUUUUGAUUUUUUUUCUAUUUUUAUUUGUUUGCAAACUAUGGUUCUAUUAUAUUAGAAAAAAAUAGUGUUUUUACCAUUUUUCACUAAAGUGAUGAUUUCUUUUACCUACUGAGUAACGUAUGACCUAAUGUGAAAUGGAAUUUUUUCAAUUCAAUAAAACAAAUCAAUAAAUACUAUAUAAAUAAAUAAAAUCAUUUUUUUUAAAUUUUCUGAAUUUUCUCAAGAAUAUAUAGUUAAAAAAAAAUAAAAAAUAUUUUUCAUAAUCAGAUGAUAAUUCAUUCAAAAGUACUGAUACUUAAGUAUGAGACUAUUUUUGGCCGAUGAUCGAUUUUUGAUUCUUAAAAAGUACGUACUCCGAUUGAUACUUUUUCAAGAAUCGAAGACCACUAGUCCAUUGGUAGAACGUUUGGCAUCUGGUGAUUAAUUUACUAAGAACAUCAGCAUGUGGUUUAAUAAGUUUAUGUUAUCCAUGUAAGUGGUUCUGUGAUGAGAAUCAUGUGUUGACAGAAAGAAGAAGGUCCUUUGAGAAAUCAAUCUAUGGGAGAUUCUGAAAUAGAUUCUGGAGAUUCUGAAUAUAUUCAUCCAUAAUUAUAGAAUUUUUCUAUCGCUCUAUGUUUUUCUGUUCUUUUUAUGUAUUUUUCAUUUGUAUCGUCUAUAUACAAUAUUGUAUGUUGUAACCAUAUUUAUAUGACUGAAAUGAUAAAUUAUUAUUAAAACCUUGUUAUUUAUGCAUAUUUUCAGAUUAUUUUCAAUAUAAACGAAUUUAUACAGUCAUUUUUUUACUGUGAUAUAUA